UGAACGCUAGCGACAGGCUUAACACAUGCAAGUCGAGGGGUAACAGGGUGUAGCAAUACACCGCUGACGACCGGCGCACGGGUGAGUAACGCGUAUGCAACCUGCCUUUGACAGAGGGAUAGCCCAUGGAAACGUGGAUUAAUACCUCAUAGUCUCUUUUUCCUUCCUGGGGAAUAGAGUAAAACGAGAGUGGUCAAAGAUGGGCAUGCGUCCUAUUAGGCAGUUGGCGGGGUAACGGCCCACCAAACCGAUGAUAGGUAGGGGUUCUGAGAGGAAGGUCCCCCACACUGGUACUGAGACACGGACCAGACUCCUACGGGAGGCAGCAGUGAGGAAUAUUGGUCAAUGGUCGAGAGACUGAACCAGCCAAGCCGCGUGAGGGAUGACUGCCCUAUGGGUUGUAAACCUCUUUUCUACUGGGAGAAUAAGCCCUAUGUAUAGGGUGAUGACAGUACAGUAGGAAUAAGCAUCGGCUAACUCCGUGCCAGCAGCCGCGGUAAUACGGAGGAUGCGAGCGUUAUCCGGAUUUAUUGGGUUUAAAGGGUGCGUAGGCGGCUUUAUAAGUUAGUGGUAAAAUUUCGGAGCUUCACUCCGGUCCGCCAUUAAAACUGUAGAGCUAGAGAAUGGACGAGGUAGGCGGAAUAAGUUAAGUAGCGGUGAAAUGCAUAGAUAUAACUUAGAACUCCGAUAGCGAAGGCAGCUUACCAGACCAUAACUGACGCUGAUGCACGAGAGCGUGGGUAGCGAACAGGAUUAGAUACCCUGGUAGUCCACGCCGUAUACGAUGCUCACCGGCCCUUAGCGAUAAGACAGUUAGGGGUUAAUUGAAAGAAUUAAGUGAGCCACCUGGGGAGUACGUCGGCAACGAUGAACCUCAAAGGAAUGGACGGGGGUCCGCUCAAGCGGAGGAACAUGUGGUUUAAUUAGAUGAUACGCGAGGAUCCUUACGUGGGUGUAAACGUAGAGUGCAUAAUCUGGAAACAGUUUUUCUCUUCGGAGCUAUAUACAAGGUGCUGCAUGGUUGUCGUCAGCUCGUGCCGUGAGGUGUCGGGUUACAGUCCUAUAACGAGCGCAACCCUUGCCGUUAGUUGUUAGCAAGUAAUGAUGAGCACUCUAGCGGGACUGCCACCGUAAGGUGAGAGGAAGGGGGGGAUGACGUCAAAUCAGCACGGUCUUUACAUCCAGGGCGACACACGUGUUGCAAUGGCCAUAACAGCGGGUAGCUGCCGGGCGACCGGACGCAAAUCUCGAAAAUUGGUUUAAGUUCGGAUUGGAGUCUGCAACCCGACUCCAUGAAGUUGGAUUUGUUAGUAAUCGAGCAUCAUCCAUGGCGCGGUGAAUACGUUCCCGGGCCUUGUUCACACCGCCCGUCAAGCCAUGGAAGCUGGGAGUACCAGAAGUCCGUAACCGCGAGGA
RNAcentral lists this ribosomal RNA (1416 nucleotides) under synthetic construct. Its description in RNAcentral is "bacterial SSU rRNA". It matches the Rfam family "Bacterial small subunit ribosomal RNA". The record is from RNAcentral. RNAcentral also lists the same sequence under 1 other name.